RNAcentral lists this ribosomal RNA (427 nucleotides) under uncultured beta proteobacterium. RNAcentral describes it as "bacterial SSU rRNA". It matches the Rfam family "Bacterial small subunit ribosomal RNA", at positions 355 to 774 of the family's 1533-position model. The record is from RNAcentral. Lineage: Bacteria; Pseudomonadati; Pseudomonadota; Betaproteobacteria.
UGGGGAAUUUUGGACAAUGGGCGAAAGCCUGAUCCAGCCAUGCCGCGUGAGUGAAGAAGGCCUUCGGGUUGUAAAGCUCUUUUAGUCGGAAAGAAAGAGUUGCAAUGAAUAAUUGUGAUUUAUGACGGUACCGACAGAAAAAGCACCGGCUAACUACGUGCCAGCAGCCGCGGUAAUACGUAGGGUGCGAGCGUUAAUCGAAAUUACUGGGCGUAAAGGGUGCGCAGGCGGUCUUGCAAGUCAGAUGUGAAAGCCCCGGGCUUAACCUGGGAAUUGCGUUUGAAACUACAAGGCUAGAGUGCAGCAGAGGGGAGUGGAAUUCCAUGUGUAGCAGUGAAAUGCGUAGAGAUGUGGAAGAACACCGAUGGCGAAGGCAGCUCCCUGGGUUGACACUGACGCCCAUGCACGAAAGCGUGGGGAGCAAACA